Molecule: transfer RNA, 73 nt
Filed under: Escherichia coli
Lineage: Bacteria; Pseudomonadati; Pseudomonadota; Gammaproteobacteria; Enterobacterales; Enterobacteriaceae
Description: tRNA-Ile
Rfam family: tRNA
About the family: Transfer RNA (tRNA) molecules are approximately 80 nucleotides in length. Their secondary structure includes four short double-helical elements and three loops (D, anti-codon, and T loops). Further hydrogen bonds mediate the characteristic L-shaped molecular structure. tRNAs have two regions of fundamental functional importance: the anti-codon, which is responsible for specific mRNA codon recognition, and the 3' end, to which the tRNAs corresponding amino acid is attached (by aminoacyl-tRNA synthetases). tRNAs cope with the degeneracy of the genetic code in two manners: having more than one tRNA (with a specific anti-codon) for a particular amino acid; and 'wobble' base-pairing, i.e. permitting non-standard base-pairing at the 3rd anti-codon position.
Source: RNAcentral
GGCUUGUAGCUCAGGUGGUUAGAGCGCACCCCUGAUAAGGGUGAGGUCGGUGGUUCAAGUCCACUAGCUACCA